RNAcentral lists this ribosomal RNA (497 nucleotides) under uncultured bacterium. RNAcentral's name for it is "partial 16S ribosomal RNA". It matches the Rfam family "Bacterial small subunit ribosomal RNA", at positions 28 to 507 of the family's 1533-position model. The record is from RNAcentral.
GAUGAACGCUGGCGGCGUGCCUAAUACAUGCAAGUCGAGCGAACGGACGAGAAGCUUGCUUCUCUGAUGUUAGCGGCGGACGGGUGAGUAACACGUGGAUAACCUACCUAUAAGACUGGGAUAACUUCGGGAAACCGUAGCUAAUACCGGAUAAUAUUUUGAACCGCAUGGUUCAUAAGUGAAAGACGUUCUUGCUGUCACUUAUAGAUGGUUCCACGCUGCAUUAGCUAGUUGGUAAGGUAACGGCCUACCAAAGCGACGAUGCGUAGCCGACCUGAGAGGCUGACCAGGCACAAUGGAACUGAGACACGGUCCAGACUCCUACGGGAGGGAGCAGUGGGGAAUAUUGGACAAUGGGCGAAAGCCUGAUCCAGCCAUGCCGCGUGUGUGAAGAAGGUCUUCGGAUUGUAAAGCACUUUUAGUUGGGAGAAAGGGCAGUAAGUAAAUACCUUGCUGUUUUGACGUUACCAAAAGAAAAAGCACCGGCUAACUUCGUG